UGAAGAUUACCUCACUUGCGACAUAUGCCUUCAAUGCGAUUAUGUCUCUAAGUCGUGCCUCGACACAUGGGAGCUAUAGUCGCAUCGAGGGUGUUACACCGACACACUUUAAAAUUGAGCAAAAAUUGAAUGGAUGAACAGUUUAGAGCCUUUGCCUGCGGUUAAUUGAUCAAACUGGUGGUAACGUUAAGUUUGAUCAUUUGGAAAUGUCUGGAUCUACAAUUAUUUGCUAGAUAGGAGUACUAAAGAACCUGACUUGUUGCAGCUGCAUUGCUCAUCCUAUUCAUCACCUUGAGCUAAAGACUGCGGAUGUUGGAUACGGUUUACAGAGAUGAGCUUCGGGCCCGCCACAGUAUCAACAGUGGAUUUAUUGUAGCUCAGGCAUCCUCAAGCACACACAUGUCUUUUCCUUUUGACUAUUUAUAAUUAUAAGUUUUUUCUACCAAAUUUCUGCUAUUUUUCACAACCGGAACAUAGUAGAGUUAUAACUUUUAAAUUUGCUUAGGCGUGUCAUGACUCUACCAUUGAAAAGAUUGGCCUCCGAAGAGGGGAUGUGAUUGACUUGGAUCAUCGUUCUACUGUAGUUGAGCUUGAAGAAUUUCUUCUUGGUCUUGGUUGGGUCUUCUUGGAGAAGAAACUUGAUUCGCACUCGACCAUAGAUGUCAAGAUACGAGUUCAUGAUAUUCGUGCAAAAACAAGUGUUUGUACUAUUUUACCUAUGGGAUUCAGCGAUGCUGUAGUGCACUCAUACCAUUCAUCAGCCUCAUCCCAGGCCGUGAGACCGUGACGAUGUGAAUUAGGGAUCUCAUCAUGACAAAGAUUAGCUUAGGUCGGUGUAUGGUUCGUGGCUCUAUGCUGGUCUCACUGUAAACAUCAUCUCAGGAUACAGCAGUAGUCAGCACCGGCGACACCUCAGUCUUUGCUAAAAUUAAGGUUUGCUCUAUGCUUUUAGUUUUUUCCCCCUUGCGGGUGACUAUGCUUUUAGGUAUCACUUGCCGCUAACUUGGAUGACUCAUUGUGAUGAGUGCUUCAACAAACGUCUUAUAUUAAGUUAUAUAGGGAGUAUCUAGGUUGAGCCAAUCGUUCAGUCUAAACUUUGAGCAGCCUUGAACACAACGCAUGCUCAUGGCCAGAGGUAGAGUAAUAGCAGAAAAGUUAUUCUAGUACUCCCUCCGUUCCUAAAUAUUUGUCUUUUUAGAGAUUUUCAACAAAUGACUACAUA
This is a long non-coding RNA of Triticum aestivum (bread wheat), 1222 nucleotides long. RefSeq lists it as uncharacterized. The record is from RefSeq and is a predicted model, not a curated record. The transcript has 4 exons. Lineage: Eukaryota; Viridiplantae; Streptophyta; Magnoliopsida; Poales; Poaceae.